GAAUAUUGGAGAGAGAACAAAAUUUCUCCAUUCAUCAUUAAUCCACACAGAUAGCAACAUACAAGAAAAUCACAUUCAUCCUCACCAAGAUAAUCUCACCGACCUCACCAUUAAUCUCACAUACACACAUGAAAACUCACGCACGCACAUACAGUGAACGGAAAGCUGGUCGGAUUGAGCAAAAUAGAGAGAGGAGGGAAAUUCACAUGAUAUACGCACACACAUUGCUUCUUUUUUUGGAUUGACACUCCCCUCACCACAUGCACACACAUAGAUUGGAGAAGAGGAGAGAGAUAGAUUGAAAGGGAUAUAGGAAGAAAAUGCCACUGUUGUGGUGGAGAGAGAGAACUAGUCGGAGAGAGGAAAAAUGGAGAGAAGAGGGAGAUAUUUGAGCGAGAGAGGAGAGAAAAGAGACUGGGGUUGACUUUUCUGACGUUCUUGGCCG
RNAcentral lists this long non-coding RNA (445 nucleotides) under Capsicum annuum. RNAcentral's name for it is "long non-coding RNA (CANN_LNC020535)". The record is from RNAcentral. Lineage: Eukaryota; Viridiplantae; Streptophyta; Magnoliopsida; Solanales; Solanaceae.